Molecule: non-coding RNA, 2748 nt
Organism: Pelodiscus sinensis (Chinese soft-shelled turtle)
Lineage: Eukaryota; Metazoa; Chordata; Testudines; Trionychidae
Source: RefSeq, a predicted model, not a curated record
GCUGCAGCGCAGGGGGAGGGGAUUUGCGAGGCUUUGGGGCAGCAGGUGGAUGCAGGGGCCGGCCUAGGGGGAUGCCAGUAGAGACCCGCAGAACAGGCCCCAGGAGCUGGACAGGAAAGCCAGGCACGUUCAGAGCAGAAAGGAGACGCUAAUUUUUGAGAGGGCGGAUGAUUAACCAGCAUCUGAAAGGAAGGGCGGGUUCCCUCUUCUCUUCCUGGCCUGCCUGGGUCUUUCUGGAAGGUGCGUUAGGCCAACACCCUGUGGUUGAGACGUGGGCAGUCACUGCGCCCUGCACCCCCAUUGCAGUCGGAUGUGACUCUCAGGUAGCACGGAAGGUUUAUUGUCCACAGGGACACAGCCUAGACCAGACUGGUCAGCACAGUAACUGGAAGCAUUCAGGACAAUCCAUCUUGGGGAGGGGGGGCUCCUCCCAGUCCUCAAGCCAGCAGGGAGAAACUCUCACUCAGCAGCCCUGUCCCAGCCCUCCCUCCAGCCUUUGUCCUACUUCCCCUGCAAAAGGUGUCACCUGGUCACGCCCUCCACCCAGGCUCAGGUUACAGAGAACAUCGACCAUUAUGAACAUGGGGGAGGCUGUCACAGUGAAAUUCCCAUCCCCACCUAGGUAUGGGGGCAGUGCCCAGGGAAACUGAGGUACACCCAUGCGGGGUUCCUACAGGCCAGUAGAACUCACGUGCAGCAUAACAAGGGAAUGAAAUCCCCACUUUGUCGCACGGGGCUCGCAGUGGGGUUGCUGGGUGACACUGAAUGGCCUGUGACUCUCCAAUGGUCCCUUCUGGCCUUGAACUCCCUUGCUGGGCUGAUCGCAUGCAGUGCUGGAUGGGGCUGGACCUGUCCCUUGCUGCUGAAUGCCAGGCUUCAAUGACCAGUGGUCUGGCGGGCUACAUGCUGUACUGGUUCCUAUGCCGCACUCUUCUCUCUCCCUCUCCCUCCUGCUUCUGCAGCCAUGGAUCCGGCCCCGAGCUCCUCCGAGGACCCCCCAGGCUCCGACAAUGACUCUGACGCAGAGAACAAGGUUGACCCAGACACGCAGGCUCAGGAAUACAUCGACCGUGUUCUCAGCUCUGUGCAGCCCAGCCCCAAAGCCCAGUGCUCCCCUCCGGGGUCGCUCUCUGUGGAGCCCCGGGCCCCAGAGCAGAGGUCUUUCCUGGAGCUGAAGAAGUCUCCGGCAGGCGAGGACGUGACCUCUGGGCUGUUAGCCCUCCCUCUGGAGCUGAUCCUGGAGAUCUGCUCUUAUCUGGAAGCCAGGUUUGUUCUCGAGGUCUUGCCCCUGGUCUGUCGGACCCUCAGGGAUAUUGUGCAGGACCAAGUGACCUGGAGGAUUCGCCUUCAGAAGAGGAUCAGUGGGUGUUACCCGGUGGUGGAAGAGGAGGACUUUGACUGGCCAGCUGCCUGCAUGGAGGUGGAGGAGCAUCUCCGGCACUGGGCCUGUGACGGCGAGAGAACCGAGUACUUCUCCCUCGCCGACGGCCACUUCGCCUCCAUUGACUCCGUUCUGCUCCUCCAGGGCGGGGCUCUCUGCGUCUCGGGCUCCCGGGAUCGCAACGUCAACCUGUGGGACCUGCGGCAGCUGGGCCAGUCCCCGGACAAGGUGCUGGUGAAAGCGCUGGGCACGGAGCGCAACGGGACACACAAGGGCUGGGUGUGGUCGCUGGCUUCUAGAGAGCACAAGGUGUGUUCCGGCUCCUGGGACAGCACGGUGAAGUUGUGGGACCUAGAGGCCAACGGGCAGCAGUUUGGGGAGAUCAGGGGGAAAGCUGCCGUGCUGUGUCUCUCCUACCUGCCCGACAUCCUGGUCACCGGGACCUACGACAAGAAGGUGACAGUGUACGACCCACGAGUGCAAACAGCCUGGGUUGGAGAAACCGGCAAAGCAAACGAGCGUGUUAAGCCCCAGGAGGUCACAGGAGGCAUCAGAGAGAGAAAAGGCAAAACUCAGCUGACCCCCCGCGAAGUGAUUUCGGAAGUCGCUCUUGCCGCCAGUUCAUCGUGGAUGCCUGAGGCCGUUCGGGGGCGUGUGCCCUCCCCUGUAGUGCUUGGCCCCCCAGACCCCGCUGAAGAGUCGCAAGCUCCACUCCAGCGCCGUCCUGUCCCUCGUGGCCGACGAGCGCUUCAUCAUCUCCGGCAGCGAGGACCGGACGCUGGUCGUCUUCGAUCGACGGACCAACAGUGUCCUCCAGAGGCUGCAGCUGGAAUCCUACCUGCUCUCCAUGUCCUACCAAGGGACGCAGCUGUGGGCCGGGGACAACCAGGGACUGCUCUACGUCUUUAAAAACAGAGGCGGCAGCUUCCAGCACAGCCGGUACUUCAACGUGGGUCACCGGUCCCAGAUCACUGGGGUCUGGCACUCCCUGGGCACGCUGUACACGACCUCCACCGACAAGAGCCUGCGGAUACACGUUCCCACGGACCCGCCUCGCACUGUCUGCACACGGACACACAACAACGUGCUGAACGGGAUCAGUGCAGAAGGCAACAUUGUGGUAGCUGCUUCCGGGGGCCUGUCCUUGGAAAUCUGGAGGCUCAACGCCUGAUGGAGGCCUGGAUCUGCGGAGCCGUGUGUUGCCGGGGGAGGUGCUGCGCCCGGCGCCCGACUGCCGGCCGGGGGGCCAGAGUUCCGGUGCCCGUUCGUCGGUCAUUUGUUCCUUGUUCUUUGGAAGAGGCCCGAGGAGCCGCGAGGUCGAAGUUUCGCUGCCUGAGCUCACCCUGGCCCUGCUGUUCCCAGAGGGG